This 1346-nucleotide ribosomal RNA is filed under the name uncultured bacterium. Its description in RNAcentral is "partial 16S ribosomal RNA". It matches the Rfam family "Bacterial small subunit ribosomal RNA", at positions 28 to 1381 of the family's 1533-position model. The record is from RNAcentral.
GACGAACGCUUGCGGCGUGCUUAACACAUGCAAGUCGAACGGAAAGGCCCUGCUUUUGUGGGGUGCUCGAGUGGCGAACGGGUGAGUAACACGUGAGUAACCUGCCCUUGACUUUGGGAUAACUUCAGGAAACUGGGGCUAAUACCGGAUAGGAGCUCCUGCUGCAUGGUGGGGGUUGGAAAGUUUCGGCGGUUGGGGAUGGACUCGCGGCUUAUCAGCUUGUUGGUGGGGUAGUGGCUUACCAAGGCUUUGACGGGUAGCCGGCCUGAGAGGGUGACCGGCCACAUUGGGACUGAGAUACGGCCCAGACUCCUACGGGAGGCAGCAGUGGGGAAUAUUGCACAAUGGGCGGAAGCCUGAUGCAGCAACGCCGCGUGCGGGAUGACGGCCUUCGGGUUGUAAACCGCUUUCGCCUGUGACGAAGCGUGAGUGACGGUAAUGGGUAAAGAAGCACCGGCUAACUACGUGCCAGCAGCCGCGGUGAUACGUAGGGUGCGAGCGUUGUCCGGAUUUAUUGGGCGUAAAGGGCUCGUAGGUGGUUGAUCGCGUCGGAAGUGUAAUCUUGGGGCUUAACCCUGAGCGUGCUUUCGAUACGGGUUGACUUGAGGAAGGUAGGGGAGAAUGGAAUUCCAGGUGGAGCGGUGGAAUGCGCAGAUAUCAGGAGGAACACCAGUGGCGAAGGCGGUUCUCUGGGCCUUUCCUGACGCUGAGGAGCGAAAGCGUGGGGAGCGAACAGGCUUAGAUACCCUGGUAGUCCACGCUGUAAACGGUGGGUACUAGGUGUGGGGUCCAUUCCACGGGUUCCGUGCCGUAGCUAACGCUUUAAGUACCCCGCCUGGGGAGUACGGCCGCAAGGCUAAAACUCAAAGGAAUUGACGGGGCCCCGCACAAGCGGCGGAGCAUGCGGAUUAAUUCGAUGCAACGCGUAGAACCUUACCUGGGUUUGACAUGGAUCGGGAGUGCUCAGAGAUGGGUGUGCCUCUUUUGGGGUCGGUUCACAGGUGGUGCACGGCUGUCGUCAGCUCGUGUCGUGAGAUGUGGGGUUAAGUCCCGCAACGAGCGCAACCCUUGUUCACUGUUGCCAGCACGUUAUGGUGGGGACUCAGUGGAGACCGCCGGGGUCAACUCGGAGGAAGGUGGGGAUGACGUCAAGUCAUCAUGCCCCUUAUGUCCAGGGCUUCACGCAUGCUACAAUGGCUGGUACAGAGAGUGGCGAGCCUGUGAGGGUGAGCGAAUCUCGGAAAGCCGGUCUCAGUUCGGAUUGGGGUCUGCAACUCGACCUCAUGAAGUCGGAGUCGCUAGUAAUCGCAGAUCAGCAACGCUGCGGUGAAUACGUUCCCGGGGCU